This 610-nucleotide ribosomal RNA is filed under the name uncultured bacterium. RNAcentral describes it as "bacterial SSU rRNA". The stretch from base 1 to 519 matches the Rfam family "Bacterial small subunit ribosomal RNA", at positions 338 to 873 of the family's 1533-position model. The record is from RNAcentral.
CCUACGGGAGGCAGCAGUGGGGAAUAUUGGACAAUGGGCGAAAGCCUGAUCCAGCAAUGCCGCGUGAGUGAUGAAGGCCUUAGGGUCGUAAAGCUCUUUUACCCGGGAUGAUAAUGACAGUACCGGGAGAAUAAGCCCCGGCUAACUCCGUGCCAGCAGCCGCGGUAAUACGGAGGGGGCUAGCGUUGUUCGGAAUUACUGGGCGUAAAGCGUGCGUAGGCGGUUAUUCAAGUCAGAGGUGAAAGCCCGGGGCUCAACCCCGGAACGGCCUUUGAAACUAGGUAGCUAGAAUCUUGGAGAGGUCAGUGGAAUUCCGAGUGUAGAGGUGAAAUUCGUAGAUAUUCGGAAGAACACCAGUGGCGAAGGCGACUGACUGGACAAGUAUUGACGCUGAGGCACGAAAGCGUGGGGAGCAAACAGGAUUAGAUACCCUGGUAGUCCACGCCGUAAACGAUGAUAACUAGCUGUUCGGGUACUUGGUAUCUGAGUGGCGCAGACUACGACAUUAAGUUAUCCGUCCGUCGGGUAGGUACGGUCGCGAAGAAUUAAAACUUAAAUAAGAAGUUAGACGGCGUGAGACGUGCCGAACGGACGACGACGAGGGAGUAGG